RNAcentral lists this ribosomal RNA (322 nucleotides) under uncultured bacterium. RNAcentral describes it as "bacterial SSU rRNA". It matches the Rfam family "Bacterial small subunit ribosomal RNA", at positions 28 to 334 of the family's 1533-position model. The record is from RNAcentral.
GAUGAACGCUGGCGGCGUGCCUAACACAUGCAAGUCGAGCGAAGCGAUUUAACGGAAGUUUUCGGAUGGAAGUUAAAUUGACUGAGCGGCGAGGGUGAAGGUACGCGUAGGUAACUGCCUCAUACAGGGGAUAACAGUUAGAAAUGACUGCUAAUACCGCAUAAGCGCACAGCAUCGCAUGAUAGCAGUGUGAAAAACUCCGGUGGUAUGAGAUGGACCCGCGUCUGAUUAGCUAGUUGGUGGGGUAACGGCUCACCAAGGCGACGGUCAGUAGCCGACCUGAGAGGGUGACCGGCCACAUUGGGACUGAGACACGGCCCAA